RNAcentral lists this ribosomal RNA (534 nucleotides) under Citrobacter koseri. Its description in RNAcentral is "bacterial SSU rRNA". It matches the Rfam family "Bacterial small subunit ribosomal RNA", at positions 1 to 529 of the family's 1533-position model. The record is from RNAcentral. Lineage: Bacteria; Pseudomonadati; Pseudomonadota; Gammaproteobacteria; Enterobacterales; Enterobacteriaceae.
UUGGAGUUUGAUCGUGGCUCAGAUUGAACGCUGGCGGCAGGCCUAACACAUGCAAGUCGAACGGUAACAGGAAGCAGCUUGCUGCUUUGCUGACGAGUGGCGGACGGGUGAGUAAUGUCUGGGAAACUGCCUGAUGGAGGGGGAUAACUACUGGAAACGGUAGCUAAUACCGCAUAACGUCGCAAGACCAAAGAGGGGGACCUUCGGGCCUCUUGCCAUCAGAUGUGCCCAGAUGGGAUUAGCUUGUUGGUGGGGUAACGGCUCACCAAGGCGACGAUCCCUAGCUGGUCUGAGAGGAUGACCAGCCACACUGGAACUGAGACACGGUCCAGACUCCUACGGGAGGCAGCAGUGGGGAAUAUUGCACAAUGGGCGCAAGCCUGAUGCAGCCAUGCCGCGUGUAUGAAGAAGGCCUUCGGGUUGUAAAGUACUUUCAGCGGGGAGGAAGGUGCUGUGGUUAAUAACCGCAGCAAUUGACGUUACCCGCAGAAGAAGCACCGGCUAACUCCGUGCCAGCCGCCGCCGUAACACAAA